RNAcentral lists this transfer RNA (90 nucleotides) under [Pasteurella] mairii. RNAcentral's name for it is "tRNA-Ser(gga)". It matches the Rfam family "tRNA". From Rfam's summary of the family: Transfer RNA (tRNA) molecules are approximately 80 nucleotides in length. Their secondary structure includes four short double-helical elements and three loops (D, anti-codon, and T loops). The record is from RNAcentral. Lineage: Bacteria; Pseudomonadati; Pseudomonadota; Gammaproteobacteria; Pasteurellales; Pasteurellaceae.
GGUGAGAUGUCCGAGUGGUUGAAGGAGCACGCCUGGAAAGUGUGUAUGUGCGAAAGUGCAUCAAGGGUUCGAAUCCCUUUCUCACCGCCA